UGAAGAUGCCGGAUACCUGCGACAGGACGGAAAGACCCCAUGGAGCUUUACUGUAGCUUGACAUUGGGUUUUGGUACUACAUGUACAGGAUAGGUGGGAGGCUUUGAAACCAGGACGCCAGUUUUGGCGGAGCCAUCCUUGGGAUACCACCCUUGUAGUACUGGGACUCUAACCAUAGGCCAUGAAUCUGGUCUUGGGACACUGUCAGGCGGGCAGUUUGACUGGGGCGGUCGCCUCCCAAAAGGUAACGGAGGCGCUCAAAGGUUCUCUCAGUACGGU
This 279-nucleotide ribosomal RNA is filed under the name Clostridioides difficile. Its description in RNAcentral is "partial 23S ribosomal RNA". It matches the Rfam family "Bacterial large subunit ribosomal RNA", at positions 2054 to 2331 of the family's 2925-position model. Lineage: Bacteria; Bacillati; Bacillota; Clostridia; Peptostreptococcales; Peptostreptococcaceae. The record is from RNAcentral.